UAUUCGAAAGGUCGGUAGGAUUCCAAGUCAGGAAGAGAAACGGAGGGAGAGGGAGGCAAAGCGAAGAACAACGGCAUUGCGUUUGCUGUUUACUGCCAUUUUCUUCUUCUACUCUCUUUCUCCAGAAACGCAUUGACAGUAUUGUGAAGCGUAGAGAAAACAGAGACAAAAAAAGGCUUCGAAGCUGAAGAAACGGCAUGAUUUCAGUGAAAUCGUGUUGGUUUCAAAGCUUCAUGGUAGUACAUUUGGUAAAACGGUGCCCGUGAAGGAUUUCUUGGGCAGGUUUAGACAAUUGAGACCAUUACCUUACGUAAGCUUUCUAGGAGUGGAAAGGAAACGAAGGAAAAUUCGGUGAUCUGUUUGUGAGUUUUAAGGAUAGAUAUGGGGACAAUGAGUGAGGAGGUGGAAGUUCAGGAACAGGGGUUAAGUGGACAAGAAGAGAAAAUUUUUGUUUCGGUUAGAUUAAGGCCUUUGAACGAGAAAGACAGAGCGAGGAACAGUGUAUCUGAUUGGGAAUGCAUUAACAAUGACACCAUUGUUUUCAAGAAUAGCUUGCCCGAACGCUCCAUGUUCCCUGCCGCCUAUACAUUUGACAGGGUAUUUGCUUGUGACAGCCAUACAAGGCAAGUGUACGAGGAAGUAGCUAAACAAAUUGCACUUUCAGUGCUCAGUGGUAUCAAUUCAACCAUAUUUGCAUAUGGGCAAACAAGCAGUGGAAAGACAUAUACAAUGAGUGGAAUCACUGAAUAUGCAGUAGCAGAUAUAUAUGACUACAUAGAGAUGCAUGAAGAGAGAGAAUUUUUGGUGAAAUUCUCUGCCAUGGAGAUAUAUAAUGAAGCUGUCAGAGACCUCCUUAGCUCUGAUAGUACCCCACUCAGACUCCUAGAUGAUCCAGAGAGGGGAACUGUUGUGGAGAAACUUACUGAGGAGACUCUCAGAGACAGGGACCAUCUUCAGGAGCUCCUUUCAAUCUGUGAAGCUCAAAGGCAGAUAGGAGAGACCUCUUUGAAUGAAACUAGCUCCAGAUCACAUCAGAUUUUGCGGCUGACUGUUGAAAGCUCUGCUCGUGAUUAUGCUGGAGCUGAAAAUUCAAGCAUGCUUGCAGCUUCUGUGAAUUUUGUUGAUUUAGCAGGAAGCGAGCGUGCCUCUCAGACCUUAUCUGCUGGUGCAAGAUUGAAAGAGGGCUGCCACAUAAAUAGGAGUUUACUAACCCUUGGAACCGUGAUUCGCAAAUUAAGCAAGGGAAGAAACGCACAUGUACCUUAUAGAGACUCUAAGCUGACACGCAUACUCCAGAAUUCCUUAGGAGGCAAUGCGAGAACAGCCAUCAUUUGCACUAUGAAUCCUGCACGCAGUCAUGUUGAGCAAUCAAGAAACACUCUCUUGUUUGCAAGCUGUGCUAAAGAGGUGACAACAAAUGCACACGUCAAUUUAGUUAUGUCAGACAAAGCAUUGGUAAAGCAAUUACAAAGAGAGUUGGCUAGACUGGAGAAUGAAAUGAAGAGCUUAGGAUCAGCUUCAAACAAACGUGAUACUGCUAUAAUGCUGAGAGAGAAAGAGCUGCUCAUCGGGCAGAUGGCCAAAGAGAUAGCAGAAUUGACUCGGCAACGUGAUCUUGCUCAAUCUCGAGUUGAGAAUUUGCUACUGUCAGUUAGAGAAGUUCAAAUGCUAAAGCAAGGUGAAUAUUCAUCACCAAAAUUAUCAGAACCGGCCAAAGUUCCCUAUAUGGUUGAUUACAACAAGCAUAGGAAUACUAGUGUACCUAGUGUGCCUAGUUCCUACAACCAUUAUCUAGGGCUUCCUGAGAACUCUGAAGAGUAUUUUCUGCUCGAUGGCAGCACUCCGAAGUUUGUUGGGCCUGAUCCAUGCAAAGGUUGGGAGGAGAUCGCUCAUAGAACGAAUGAACAAUUUGAUGAUAGCUGCAAGGAAGUUCGAUGCAUUGAAAUUGAAAACUCGAGCAUUAAGAUGAAUGAAAAGGCAGAAGUUUCCUCUUUGAGUCCUGCCAAUAAUGAAGGAAAAUUAGCCACGGAAGACGCCAUCGUCCAGGAAACUGAAACUGAUGAGUUGUCAAUUGACCCUGAGGAACAGGAAAGAAAAUCGGCCAUGACAGAGACCGUUGUCAAGGAAAUAGAAGCUGAUGAUUCAUCAAUUGCUCCGGAGGAAAAGGUUGGAAAAGUACCCAAGACAGAGGUCAUUCUCAAGAAAACAGGAGAUGGGGAAUUCCUGACUGUUCCUGAGGAUAUUGAAGGAAAAUUAACCAUGAUGGAGUCAAGCAUGGAGAAACUGGAAGCUGAUGGCUUCUCCACUGAUCCUGAGGAAAAUCAAGGAAAAUUAGACAUAGCUAGAGUCAUGAACGAAAAUGUAUUACCAAUCGUACAAAAGGAAAAUUUGCAAUCAACUCCUCUGUAUAGAGAUGAAACUUACAAGGCUUUGAAACAAAAAAUUGAGGAAUUGCAAAGGACCGUUAAAUUUCUUGUCAGAAUUCAUCAUCUAGAGCAGUCGCCUUGUUUCUCGGACGCAUCUAGCUCUAGUACCUCGAGCAUGACCAGAAGCAGAAGCUGCAAGGCGGUUCUCGCGACAGUGCCAUCUUCACCUUGCUUUGAGAAGGCACAACAGAAUGAAAGCACACCCCCUUCCACUGGGUUUGACAAGGACUUCUUUGAAAGACCAAGGGGCCUAGACCAAAAGCUUUCUGGACUGAAAUAUGACAACAGAAGUGAAAAUAUGUCCAGAAAAAAUUCUCAAACUUCUCUUAGCAGUGUUUCUGGGGAUGCACAAAGUCUGAAAGAUUCAGAUGUUGAAGACAAUUGUAGUGUAAUUGAUUUUCUUCCACGACCAGAGAAGUCAUUUAGCAAUGAUUUUGUGAGAAGAAGAACUGCCUCCUCCCCUGAUUCUGUUGCUGGUGGUAUUGAAACGAAACUACAGUCAGAAAAGCAAAUUGGUCACGAUACGGCUCAGGAAACCACAGAUCAGACUGAUAAUUCCAGGGAAAAAAUAGAGGAUGCCAUGCAACUGCACUCUAGUUGGGCCUCAGAAUUUGAGAAGCAGCAGAGAAAGAUAAUUGAACUUUGGGAUGCAUGCAAUGUACCAUUAAUCCACAGAACUUAUUUCAUCCUGCUUUUCAAAGGUGAUCCUUCCGAUUCUGUGUAUAUGGAGGUAGAGCUAAGAAGGUUGUCUUUUAUAAAGAAUUCAAUGUCAUCCGGAACCAAUGCUCGGACAAAUAGUCCUCUUGACACAACAUCUUCAAGUGUGAAGGAUUUGAUUCGUGAGAGAGGAAUGUUGAGCAAGCAAAUACAGAAGAAGUUCUCAAGAAAGCAAAGGGAAGAACUCUUCAAGAAGUGGGGUAUUGGGUUGGACACAAAGCAGAGGAGUUUACAGCUGGCACGCCGUGUAUGGACAGACACCAAUGACAUGGACCAUGUCAAGGAGAGUGCUGCCUUAGUGGCUAAGUUGUUCGGGUUUGUCGAGCCAAGUCGAGCUCCCAAGGAGAUAGUUGGACUCAACAUCCUGCCUCGAUCCAUAACACGAAGAUCCUACACCUGGAAGCACGGCAUUCCUCCCCUGCUGUAAGGCUGUUGAAGUUUUAGAGAAUUAUCUAGGUUGGAUCUAUUUGCAGGGUUGGAAUCUUCUCAUUUUAACCUCCUGAACGUAAAUCCGAAGGAUUGCACAUUGGAGGCAUUGUUCUCUGGAUGAUGAACAUCGGUCAAGCAGGUGGACUCUUCCAGAGUUGCUUCCACUACGGCACGCUGCCCAUCUAGUGAGAGGGUAACACUGUCGAUGGCCAGGCUCAGUAGACUAUAUUCGUAUGUCCAACCAAGCUGAGCAAUCUCAGCUGCACGAUCUGUCCAUGUCUUCAACAUCUGACCAUCUAGAACCUGGUGGUUUUCUCAGUGUUAGGAAAAGCUUUAACAAAAAGUCGCACGGUGCCCUAAUGCAGCAGCAAUGAACAUCUUCAAAAGCAAUCUACUUACUAUGUUUGGCUGACUCAUAACAACCAUACAUAACCAGUUGCCCCCAAAUGAAAAGGGUCUAGUUUGCGGGGCAGUUUUCAAGAUCAUCCUUGAGGAAAUUAAAAAAAAUAAAUAAAAGAAAAGAAUGUAAGUUACAGUAUCAUUACCUCUGGCAAUUUAUCAAGACAGUGAUCAGGUCCAAAUGCCUGCGAUUUAACGUUC
Molecule: non-coding RNA, 4172 nt
Organism: Theobroma cacao (cacao)
Lineage: Eukaryota; Viridiplantae; Streptophyta; Magnoliopsida; Malvales; Malvaceae
Source: RefSeq, a predicted model, not a curated record